AUUUUUAGGAUUCUUUUUCCUCAUGUGGAACCCAAACCAAGGACCCCCUGGUAUGCAGCCUACAUACCCAGCUCCUGGGUGUGCCCCUCCCCCUGGGUACUAUCCAGGGCAGUGCCCCCCAAGAUAUGUUGCUCCUGCUCCACCCCCUCCUACAAUAGUAAUCCAGAAUCCUUGCUCAUGUGGAAAUCAUGGCUGUAAUGGGCACCAUCCCCAUCCCCAUCAUCAUGGAAUAUUUGGUCAUCAUCAUCACCAUCAUCAUGGCCAUCAUCACCACUAGAACUUUCAAGACAAACAAACAUCGGCAGAGAUCAGUGCCACACUUUCACACAAUGUCAUCUAUUUGAAGAUGCCUCCUAAUGUAAUGAAGAAAGCGGACCAAGAAUGAAUAUAUAUAUAUAUAUAUUUACAAUGUAUUAAAAAAUUGCAAUAAAGUGAUUCGAUAUCUUAAA
Long non-coding RNA from Bombina bombina (fire-bellied toad), 449 nucleotides. RefSeq lists it as uncharacterized. The transcript is spliced from 3 exons. The record is from RefSeq and is a predicted model, not a curated record. NCBI's taxonomy places the organism in Eukaryota, Metazoa, Chordata, Amphibia, Anura, Bombinatoridae.